RNAcentral lists this microRNA (22 nucleotides) under Populus tomentosa. Its description in RNAcentral is "Pto-miR482d-5p". The record is from RNAcentral. Lineage: Eukaryota; Viridiplantae; Streptophyta; Magnoliopsida; Malpighiales; Salicaceae.
GGACAUGGGUUGGUUCGCAAGA